Molecule: ribosomal RNA, 537 nt
Filed under: uncultured bacterium
Lineage: Bacteria
Description: bacterial SSU rRNA
Rfam family: Bacterial small subunit ribosomal RNA
Source: RNAcentral
AAUAGAUACCCGGGUAGUCCACGCCGUAAACGAUGAGUGCUAAGUGUUAGGGGGUUUCCGCCCCUUAGUGCUGCAGCUAACGCAUUAAGCACUCCGCCUGGGGAGUACGGCCGCAAGGCUGAAACUCAAAGGAAUUGACGGGGGCCCGCACAAGCGGUGGAGCAUGUGGUUUAAUUCGAAGCAACGCGAAGAACCUUACCAGGUCUUGACAUCUCCUGACCGCCCUGGAGACAGGGUCUUCCCUUCGGGGACAGGAUGACAGGUGGUGCAUGGUUGUCGUCAGCUCGUGUCGUGAGAUGUUGGGUUAAGUCCCGCAACGAGCGCAACCCUUGUCCUUAGUUGCCAGCAUUCAGUUGGGCACUCUAAGGAGACUGCCGGCUAAAAGUCGGAGGAAGGUGGGGAUGACGUCAAAUCAUCAUGCCCCUUAUGACCUGGGCUACACACGUGCUACAAUGGGCGGUACAGAGGGUCGCGAACCCGCGAGGGGGAGCCAAUCCCAAAAAGCCGCUCUCAGUUCGGAUUGCAGGCUGCAACUCG